RNAcentral lists this ribosomal RNA (377 nucleotides) under uncultured bacterium. RNAcentral's name for it is "bacterial SSU rRNA". It matches the Rfam family "Bacterial small subunit ribosomal RNA", at positions 521 to 896 of the family's 1533-position model. The record is from RNAcentral.
UAAGACAGAGGUGCCGAGCGUUAGGCGGAAUCACUGGGCUUAAAGCGUGUGUAGGCGGGCGGGCAAGUACCUUGUGAAAUCCCACGGCUCAACCGUGGAACUGCUGGGUAUACUGCCUGUCUUGAGCCAGCCAGGGGCAGUCGGAACAGACGGUGGAGCGGUGAAAUGCGUAGAUAUCGUCUGGAACGCCAAAGGUGAAAACAGACUGCUGGGGCUGUGCUGACGCUGAGACACGAAAGCCAGGGGAGCGAACGGGAUUAGAUACCCCGGUAGUCCUGGCCCUAAACGAUGUCGACUAGAUCGUGGUGCCUCUGACGGCUUCACGGUCGAAGCAAAAGUGCUAAGUCGACCGCCUGGGAAGUACGGUCGCAAGGCUA